Molecule: transfer RNA, 72 nt
Filed under: Actinomadura sp. RB99
Lineage: Bacteria; Bacillati; Actinomycetota; Actinomycetes; Streptosporangiales; Thermomonosporaceae
Description: tRNA-Ala
Rfam family: tRNA
About the family: Transfer RNA (tRNA) molecules are approximately 80 nucleotides in length.
Source: RNAcentral
GGGCCUGUGGUGCAACGGAAGCACACUUCUCUUGCAAGGAAGUGAUCAGGGUUCGACUCCCUGCCGGUCCAC